AGCAAUCCUGGGUGAUAACCGUUUAAACCAUUAAAAUAGUUUUUAUUAACUUUCAACCUACCCGUUUAAACUAUUUUCCUUUCUUAAAUCUUAGGUUUUGAUAUUUAUAAUUGUUUGAGAUAAAACACAACCUGAAUUGACCCAUUCAUAACUAGAUAUAUUUUCAUUGUCGGGUCUGCUUGAUAUGCGACGGAAAUGAGUUUUUGAUGACGAGAGUGUGAAUUCAUUAGAAGAAACUAAGAAGCUGGCCAUAUCCGGCGGAUUGGACAGCGUUGUUCUCGAAGCAAAUGGUAUAUUCAGAAACCCUACAUCAGUAAGAGAGAUUAAAGAAUCAAAUCUUUUCCUCCUUACUUAUGGUAAAUUAAACAGUGUCCCCGAAGCGAUACACGCUCAAUAUCUUAUGGGCGUAAUCGUCGAUUUAGUACAAGAAAUCACAAAUGCAGUUGCGUAUUUCAAAAACGAAGAUGAAGGAGCGGAGGUGAAAGAGAACACAAACAAGAUUGAACCGUCUUUUUUGCUGAAUUUGGUAUCACAAGUGAUGCAGCAUUGAAGUUCGGUACAUUAGAGUGGGGUCGCGUCGGGUCAUUUGUUUAUUAAAUGUAUCCCGUGUGGGAAUUAAGUUUGGUUAGGAUGAUAAGUAGUGGAGUUCUGUUUUUCUUUAAUUUCUUGAUCACUCAAAUGAAGCUGGUUAAAUUUUUCGCAUUUUUAUGUCAUUGAAUGACACUAUUUACUUAAGUUGUUAUUGUUAA
Long non-coding RNA from Helianthus annuus (common sunflower), 749 nucleotides. RefSeq lists it as uncharacterized. Lineage: Eukaryota; Viridiplantae; Streptophyta; Magnoliopsida; Asterales; Asteraceae. The transcript is spliced from 2 exons. The record is from RefSeq and is a predicted model, not a curated record.